UCUCCGUUGGUGAGCCAGCGGAGGGAUCAUUACCGAGUUUACAACUCCCAAACCCCUGUGAACUUAUACCUUUACGGUUGCUUCGGCGGGUCAUUGCCCCGGGGAAACAGGCGGCCGUCGGGUCCCUGCCCACCCGGAAACAGGCGCCCGCCGGGGGACUCAAACUCUUCUGUAUUUUUUUGUUUACUGUAUACUGUCUGAGUAAAAAUUCAUAAUGAAUCAAAACUUUCAACAACGGAUCUCUUGGUUCUG
RNAcentral lists this unclassified non-coding RNA (252 nucleotides) under plant metagenome. RNAcentral describes it as "partial contains small subunit ribosomal RNA, internal transcribed spacer 1, and 5.8S ribosomal RNA". The record is from RNAcentral.